GGAAACAGAUGCUAAUACCGGAAUAAAAGCUACUUUCGCAUGAAAGAAGUUUAAAAGGCGGCGUAAGCUGUCGCUAAAGGAUGGACCUGCGAUGCAUUAGCUAGUUGGUAAGGUAACGGCUUACCAAGGCGAUGAUGCAUAGCCGAGUUGAGAGGACUGAUCGGCCACAUUGGGACUGAGACACGGCCCAAACUCCUACGGGAGGCAGCAGGG
This 213-nucleotide ribosomal RNA is filed under the name uncultured Lactobacillus sp. Its description in RNAcentral is "partial 16S ribosomal RNA". It matches the Rfam family "Bacterial small subunit ribosomal RNA", at positions 152 to 354 of the family's 1533-position model. The record is from RNAcentral. Lineage: Bacteria; Bacillati; Bacillota; Bacilli; Lactobacillales; Lactobacillaceae.